ACGAACGCUGGCGGCAUGCCUAACACAUGCAAGUCGAACGAGACCUUCGGGUCUAGUGGCGCACGGGUGCGUAACGCGUGGGAACCUGCCCUUAGGUUCGGAAUAACUCCCCGAAAGGGGUGCUAAUACCGGAUAAUGUCUUCGGACCAAAGAUUUAUCGCCUUUGGAUGGGCCCGCGUUGGAUUAGCUAGUUGGUAGGGUAAAAGCCUACCAAGGCGACGAUCCAUAGCUGGUCUGAGAGGAUGAUCAGCCACACUGGGACUGAGACACGGCCCAGACUACUACGGGAGGCAGCAGUGGGGAAUAUUGGAAAAUGGGCGAAAGCCUGAUCAAGCAAUGCCGCGUGAGUGAUGAAGGCCUUAGGGUUGUAAAGCUCUUUUACCCGGGAUGAUAAUGACAGUACCGGGAGAAUAAGCUCCGGCUAACUCCGUG
This 432-nucleotide ribosomal RNA is filed under the name uncultured bacterium. Its description in RNAcentral is "partial 16S ribosomal RNA". It matches the Rfam family "Bacterial small subunit ribosomal RNA", at positions 29 to 507 of the family's 1533-position model. The record is from RNAcentral.